CCGUUCUCAACGGGGUGCUGCAGGCCAACGGCUAUGCGUGCUGAGAAGAUACCCGUCGAACCUGAUCCGGAUAACGCCGGCGAAGGGAUUUGAGGCUCACUCAAAA
RNAcentral lists this non-coding RNA (106 nucleotides) under Enterobacter cloacae. RNAcentral's name for it is "TPP sequence". It matches the Rfam family "TPP riboswitch aptamer (THI element)". Rfam says of the family: Vitamin B(1) in its active form thiamin pyrophosphate (TPP) is an essential coenzyme that is synthesised by coupling of pyrimidine and thiazole moieties in bacteria. The previously detected thiamin-regulatory element, thi box was extended, resulting in a new, highly conserved RNA secondary structure, the THI element, which is widely distributed in eubacteria and also occurs in some archaea. RNAcentral also lists the same sequence under 1 other name. The record is from RNAcentral. Lineage: Bacteria; Pseudomonadati; Pseudomonadota; Gammaproteobacteria; Enterobacterales; Enterobacteriaceae.